Molecule: transfer RNA, 88 nt
Filed under: Caudoviricetes sp.
Lineage: Duplodnaviria; Heunggongvirae; Uroviricota; Caudoviricetes
Description: tRNA-Gln
Rfam family: tRNA
About the family: Transfer RNA (tRNA) molecules are approximately 80 nucleotides in length. Their secondary structure includes four short double-helical elements and three loops (D, anti-codon, and T loops). Further hydrogen bonds mediate the characteristic L-shaped molecular structure. tRNAs have two regions of fundamental functional importance: the anti-codon, which is responsible for specific mRNA codon recognition, and the 3' end, to which the tRNAs corresponding amino acid is attached (by aminoacyl-tRNA synthetases). tRNAs cope with the degeneracy of the genetic code in two manners: having more than one tRNA (with a specific anti-codon) for a particular amino acid; and 'wobble' base-pairing, i.e. permitting non-standard base-pairing at the 3rd anti-codon position.
Source: RNAcentral
UGGGGAUUCACCAAGUGGAUAAGGUAGCGGAAUUUGACUCCGCCAGUGCUUUAACAGGCCGUCGUCGGUUCGAAUCCGACAUCCCCAG